RNAcentral lists this ribosomal RNA (494 nucleotides) under uncultured bacterium. RNAcentral's name for it is "SSU rRNA". It matches the Rfam family "Bacterial small subunit ribosomal RNA", at positions 26 to 523 of the family's 1533-position model. The record is from RNAcentral.
AGGACGAACGCUGGCGGCGUGCUUAACACAUGCAAGUCGAGCGAGAGCCAGCUGAGGGGUAACCCUCGGCUGGGGACAGCGGCGAACGGGUGCGUAACACGUGGGCAACCUGCCCCUGACACUGGGAUAACCCCGGGAAACCGGAGCUAAUACCGGAUACUCUCGGCCGAUCACAUGGCUGGCCGAGGAAAGGUCCGCCGGUCAGGGAUGGGCCCGCGGCCUAUCAGCUUGUUGGCGAGGUAACGGCUCACCAAGGCGACGACGGGUAGCUGGUCUGAGAGGACGACCAGCCACACUGGAACUGAGAUACGGUCCAGACUCCUACGGGAGGCAGCAGUGGGGAAUAUUGCACAAUGGGCGAAAGCCUGAUGCAGCGACGCCGCGUGAGGGAUGAAGGCCUUCGGGUCGUAAACCUCUUUCGGCAGGGACGAAGCGAUCAGUGACGGUACCUGCAGAAGAAGCCCCGGCUAGCUACGUGCCAGCAGCCGCGGUAA